This 370-nucleotide ribosomal RNA is filed under the name Metamycoplasma hominis. RNAcentral's name for it is "bacterial LSU rRNA". It matches the Rfam family "Bacterial large subunit ribosomal RNA", at positions 1158 to 1547 of the family's 2925-position model. Lineage: Bacteria; Bacillati; Mycoplasmatota; Mycoplasmoidales; Metamycoplasmataceae. The record is from RNAcentral.
UUUGUGCCGAUAAUUCAACGGGACUAAAACACAAUACCGAAGCUACGGGCAGAAAUGCGUUAGGAGAGCGUUGUAAGGGCUUAGAAGCCAGACCGUGAGGACUGGUGGAGCGCUUACAAGUGAGAAUGCCGGUAUGAGUAACGAUUCAGAGUGAGAAUCUCUGACGCCUAUUGGGGAAGGUUUCCUGGGCAAGGUUCGUCCACCCAGGGUUAGUCGGGUCCUAAGACGAGGCCGAAAGGCGUAGCCGAUGGACAACAGGUUAAUAUUCCUGUACUUUCUUAACAUGUGAUGGAGUGACGGGGAAGGAUAAUUUUACCACUAAUUGGAUUGUGGGGUAAGUAACAACUGGGUUAUGUAGGCAAAUCCGCAU